This 473-nucleotide ribosomal RNA is filed under the name uncultured bacterium. Its description in RNAcentral is "bacterial SSU rRNA". It matches the Rfam family "Bacterial small subunit ribosomal RNA", at positions 328 to 793 of the family's 1533-position model. The record is from RNAcentral.
CGCCAUCACUCCUACGGGAGGCAGCAGUGGGGAAUAUUGCACAAUGGGCGCAAGCCUGAUGCAGCCAUGCCGCGUGUGUGAAGAAGGCCUUCGGGUUGUAAAGCACUUUCAGUCGUGAGGAAGGUAGUGUAGUUAAUAGCUGCAUUAUUUGACGUUAGCGACAGAAGAAGCACCGGCUAACUCCGUGCCAGCAGCCGCGGUAAUACGGAGGGUGCGAGCGUUAAUCGGAAUUACUGGGCGUAAAGCGCAUGCAGGUGGUUUGUUAAGUCAGAUGUGAAAGCCCCGGGGCUCAACCUCGGAAUAGCAUUUGAAACUGGCAGACUAGAGUACUGUAGAGGGGGUAGAAUUUCAGGUGUAGCGGUGAAAUGCGUAGAGAUCUGAAGGAAUACCGGUGGCGAAGGCGGCCCCCUGGACAGAUACUGACACUCAGAUGCGAAAGCGUGGGGAGCAAACAGGAUUAGAUACCCUGGUAG